RNAcentral lists this long non-coding RNA (1094 nucleotides) under Marmota monax (woodchuck). The record is from RNAcentral. Lineage: Eukaryota; Metazoa; Chordata; Mammalia; Rodentia; Sciuridae.
CCAAAUGAAAACUCGUUAUCUUUUGCUACAAAUAGAAGAUACUUGUGAAAACACAGGAAUAUAAAACAGGGCAGUUUCCUCCAGAAGUCUGGACUUUAGCUCCUAAAGUUCAUCAGUAUAGAGUGGUUGGAGAAAAGCAUAGAGCCCUGGCCUCAGCCACUGGCUCUGCUCAUCUCUGCUUUUAGCAUGAAUAACUAUGCAGGGUCAAAGGCCCAGGCCCCACCAUCACCCAUCCACCCACACCUUCCCCACUCCCAGCUCUGGGCUUUCACCCUGCCCACCAGAUGGGGGGCUGGCUGAGGAAAACAGACCUCCAGCUCACUCCCAAUCUAAACCCACUGCCUUCAGACUUCCCCAUUGGGAACCAGAUGUCCUUCUAGCCAAUACUCAAACUCUUAAGAAAUGGUGAUGACACUCACACAUGUACAUCCAUGAGCUCAGUGGUAGAGUUCUUGCCUAGCACACCUCUGAGGCAAUGGGUUCUGUUCCCAGCAGCACUGCAAACAAAACAAAAACACCCAAAUGCAUGCUCAGAGCCUGAACAGGGCCAGUCCUUUUAUUAUUUGUCUCCUUCCUGGUUCCAUAGAGGGCUGGAGAAAGUUUCUAAUUAAUCCAGGAAUGAAAGUGUAAACAGCCAGUAAUAAAGUUCUAGGUGAUCCUUGUACGGUUAGGUAUUGAUACCCCGCAUCACGCUGCGGUCCUGCGUGCUGCUCUAAACUGCGGACUAAGCCUCCCUCCUGCCCACGCCAUACCUGGCACCCAGGAAGAUACACCCACAUACCCACCGGCUCUCUGACUCCUGAAAACGGCCCAUUGUCUUUUUCACACAGCAGGAGCGCCUCCCCCGGUCUCCAGCACGCCUAGCCUUUCUCAGAGUAGAGAAAGGUCCUGGCAAGCGUAGUGUCGGUGGGCGUCGAAGAAGGUAGUGUCCAUUCCAGGCUGUGCCUCCCAGCUGGAGACAGCGCCAGUUCCAGAGCCAUACCAGUCACCUCCCAUCAUCCAGACCUUCUCAAACACAGAGAAGGGCCUUAAGGUCCCAGAGAAAUUGGAAGUGAAGUCCGGGUCUGGGUCUGGGAAAUUCAUUAUGGGGAUGU